CUAAUACUCUCUCCGUUCGGAAAUACUUGUCUUAGAAAUGGUUGUAUUUAGAACUAAAAUAAGUCUAGAUACAAUUAUUUCUAGGACAAGUAUUUCCGAACGAAAGGAGUAUAUA
Triticum urartu is the source of this 115-nucleotide non-coding RNA. The record is from Rfam. NCBI's taxonomy places the organism in Eukaryota, Viridiplantae, Streptophyta, Magnoliopsida, Poales, Poaceae.